RNAcentral lists this ribosomal RNA (365 nucleotides) under Tridacnatheres whitei. RNAcentral describes it as "partial small subunit ribosomal RNA". Lineage: Eukaryota; Metazoa; Arthropoda; Malacostraca; Decapoda; Pinnotheridae. The record is from RNAcentral.
UAUUAUUCUGGAAAUAAUAUAACAUUCUUGGUUAGUAUUAGUUAUUUACUUAAAAUCUAAAAAAUUUGGCGGUAAUUUAGUCUGUUCAGAGGAACCUGUUUUUUAAUCGAUAAACCGCGAAGUAUCUUACUUAUUUUUGUAGAGUUUGUAUACCAUCAUUAUCAGGUGAUUUUAAAAGAAAAAAUUACUAGUUAUAAUAUUUUAGAUAAAUUAGAUCAUGGUGCAGCUAAUAAUUAAGUUAAAAUGGGUUACAAUAAAUUAUUGUUUAUUACGAAUAAAUAAAUUAAUUUUAUUUUGAAGGAGGAUUUGAUUGUAUUAAAAGUUUAAUACGCUUAUAGGAUAAAAGCUCUAAAUUAUGUACAUAU